GACGAACGCUGGCGGCGUGCUUAACACAUGCAAGUCGAACGGAAAGGCCCUGCUUUUGUGGGGUGCUCGAGUGGCGAACGGGUGAGUAACACGUGAGUAACCUUCCCUUGACUUUGGGAUAACUUCAGGAAACUGGUGCUAAUACCGGAUAGGAGCUCCUGCUGCAUGGUGGGGGUUGGAAAGUUUCGGCGGUUGGGGAUGGACUCGCGGCUUAUCAGCUUGUUGGUGGGGUAGUGGCUUACCCAGGCUUUGACGGGUAGCCGGCAUGAGAGGGUGACCGGCCACAUUGGGACUGAGAUACGGCCCAGACUCCUACGGGAGGCAGCAGUGGGGAAUAUGGCACAAUGGGCGGAAGCCUGAUGCAGCAACGCCGCGUGCGGGAUGACGGCCUUCGGGUUGUAAACCGCUUUCGCCUGUGACGAAGCGUGAGUGACGGUAAUGGGUAAAGAAGCACCGGCUAACUACGUG
RNAcentral lists this ribosomal RNA (468 nucleotides) under uncultured bacterium. RNAcentral describes it as "partial 16S ribosomal RNA". It matches the Rfam family "Bacterial small subunit ribosomal RNA", at positions 28 to 507 of the family's 1533-position model. The record is from RNAcentral.